Molecule: long non-coding RNA, 2048 nt
Filed under: Homo sapiens (human)
Lineage: Eukaryota; Metazoa; Chordata; Mammalia; Primates; Hominidae
Description: HSALNT0254237
Source: RNAcentral
GGUCAGUCGGGGCAGCCCCGAGCGCCAGGUGGCGCCGCAGCAUGCCCACCAUGCUGGAGCAUAGUUUGCCAUUUGAACCUCCCUCCCCACGGUUAGGAGUGCUCCUCCUCCAUGUCGGUUACGCUGUUAAGUCUUAGUCGUAACUUAAUUUAGACAUACAUGCUUAGUGACGUACUUAAGUGUUUCAUAGUAAAGUACAGUGAUGUUAAGUAAGCUGUUUUUCCUUUUCUCUCUGUGAAUUGUGUGUGAUUAACGAUAUCUCUUUAGAUUUCUCUUCUCCAGGUGCUAAAUUAUAUCACACAGGUACAGGCCAGUCCCGCAGUCAGAGGAGGGAGCGGCUUUGCUCCAGUGGGGUGUAAACGAAGUUUCAGGUGUUUCUGUCCCGCUUCCUCAGUGGUGAUGUCGCCUCUUGACAGCCGCAUUCCUAGACAGCGCUCAGGGCGCCUCCCCCAGGACCCAGCGCCUCUUGCACUGUGCCCGGACCAGGCGAGCCCUGUGGUUUCAGACACUCCUGCAGUUUGCGAAAAUGUCUACUUCUAAAUACGUUGUUUCAUCACCGAUGCUGUGUUCCAAUACUGCCUCUGAUCUUGGGAAACUUGAGCGCGCGGGAAUCUGAGGGUUGCUUCUAGAUCCUCCCGGUCCCCCUCCGGCUGCCCAGAGCUGGCGCCCCUUCUCCUCGCGUCCUGUCCUGUCCCGUGUGGACGGGACGUGGCGAGUGUCGCUGAGUCCACACUGGUGUACAGAGCACUUCGGGGCCAGCACGUGGCCACAUGUCCUUAGCUGUUGGGCUUUGAAAGUGUCCCUUGGGUGUCAGGCGAGUGGAGGGCCGGAGAGACGCUGCGGCGCUGCUUAGCGGGUCCUCCCAGAGAGUGUGUCCCCUUCCCUUGGCCUUUCUGCAUCUUCUGAGACGGGUCUGUGUCCCCCUCCCCGCCACCUCCUCCCUCUUCCUCUCCACUGACUGAAGGUCAUGGCCAUGUCCCUGUCAGGGACCCCGCCUGUGUCUCGGGCACACAGUGUCUGUGCGGGUCCCUGCUUGGCCCUCCCACGUCUACCCUCGGCCCGCCCGCUCCAGCCGCUGCCUCGUUCGCCUCUCAGUCCCCUCAGGUCUUCUCCAUCCUGCGCUCCUCUCGCUGUGUGCCUUGCCUUCCUGGUCCCUCCUCCUCUUCCUCCUCCUCUUCCCCCUCCCCCUCCUCCUCCCCCUCCCCCUCCCCCCUCCCCCUCCGUCUGGUUGCAGACACUGCGUGCACAGUCACGCUCAGGUGCACACGUGUGCUCAGGACGGUGGGAGGCUCCUGAACCACAGUGACCUUUGUCCCCUCACAGUCUGAGCUGCCCUUUCUGCCCCGUUUCCAUCUUUCCCCGCCCCCAGUUUUGCUUGUCCUGUUUCUGCCUGGUCCCAGCUACAGCAGCCCUGGCCCCUGUCUCUUCAGCUUGAGAGGCCCCACAGUAGGCUGCUCCUUCCGGGGGCCGUUGCCUGUUCCCACCCCCCACGGCCCUUCUCUGCCGCGCUCGUUCACGCCUCACGCCCGUGCUGCGCUGUCCCCUGCUGUGUGGUGCCUUGUCACGCACCCUGUGCCUCUGGCGCGGGCAGCCCAUCUUCAGCCCGGUCUCAGCUCUUCCCAUGUCCAUCUUUGUUCUGUGAGGUCUUGGGCAGCUGUCUGCCGGGCACUUCCAUCUGGGGAGGGGCUGGUGCCGCCUGGGCCCCGCCUCGGGAGGACGGUGUGCUUUGCGGUGUCACGCUCCACCUAGCCGGGGAGGCCUGGAGAGCCCGGCGCACUCCUGCGCCUAGAGGAGGAGACCCGCCCCGUUAGCCGGGGGCCGCGCCCACCCCAGACCCACUAAACUUCGUUUAUACUGCCACUCUUGUGUUUGGGAAAUGCUAAAUUUUUUUUGCCUUUAAAAUUUUCUGUUUUGAUCCCAUGGUGCAUCUCGCUCUUGCUGCUGGCAGCAGAGUCUGACCUGCUGGAACCCGUUGUGGCCUGUAUCUUUGUGCAUUGUUUCUCUACCUGUAUAGAACAUGCAUAGAUGUCUACGAUAUGACCUCUUCU